CAGUAGCCACGGUAAUACAGAGGGUGCGAGCGUUAAUCGGAUUUACUGGGCGUAAAGCGUGCGUAGGCGGCUUCUUAAGUCGGAUGUGAAAUCCCUGAGCUUAACUUAGGAAUUGCAUUCGAUACUGGGAAGCUAGAGUAUGGGAGAGGAUGGUAGAAUUCCAGGUGUAGCGGUGAAAUGCGUAGAGAUCUGGAGGAAUACCGAUGGCGAAGGCAGCCAUCUGGCCUAAUACUGACGCUGAGGUACGAAAGCAUGGGGAGCAAACAGGAUUAGAUACCCCCGUAGUCCCUGUCCUUAUACA
Molecule: ribosomal RNA, 301 nt
Filed under: uncultured bacterium
Lineage: Bacteria
Description: partial 16S ribosomal RNA
Rfam family: Bacterial small subunit ribosomal RNA
Source: RNAcentral